Molecule: small RNA, 7283 nt
Filed under: Arabidopsis thaliana (thale cress)
Lineage: Eukaryota; Viridiplantae; Streptophyta; Magnoliopsida; Brassicales; Brassicaceae
Description: ATSL268570
Rfam family: MIR854 microRNA precursor family (bases 6342-6553)
Source: RNAcentral
UAAGUUUUUACCUAGUUUUAUUUCCGCAGACCUUGUGUUCUAGACUUUUUGUAAUCCGGAUUUCUCUUUAUCUAUUCAGUAUUCAGCUUUGGUUCUUGAUUUUCGUUUAUUGUUGUUCAUUCUGUUAUCACACUACUGUUACACUGUUGUUAUCAUGUCUUCAACCUGUUCAACGUUUAUGCUUUCUGUUAUGAUGUCUGAGUAGUGAAUAGGUUUCUUAGGAUGGGUUAGAGUAGUGUAGAAUUCUCAGUAUGCUAGGUGAUUGAGUAUUGAUUGAUAGAUCCCUUCUGGAUUAGUUGUUCUUAAUGCAUAUUGCUUUCUGAUCAACUGGAAUUUGAGCCCAGACAUUUCCGCGCCCAAAAGGUGUUCGAUGAAAUGUCUGAACCACUAAUUCCAUAGAUUCGUGACCCUGUACCAAGGUAUUGGUUGCAGGGAGCGUUUUGGCUUUAACUUGUUGAUUCGUAAUGCUUGUUAGGUUAGCUCUCGUCAAUGGUGAUUGAGUCUGGGACUAGGUUAGCUUGAGAGUCUCUGUUGCGGUGGCACUUAGAUUUGGUUAAUGAACUUGUUGUCUAGGGUUAAUUUAUUGAGCAUGUCAAUCACCUGUAAACUGAGGAAACGAAACUACUCAAUUAUCCCAUCCUUAGGAAUUCUUUAUCUGAUUGAUUUUAUUGUUUACUCUACUACUGUUUACUGCAUCCUGUCAUCUGUUGCUUAGUUUCUGCAAUUCUUUACUGUUACUCGAUCUGAUACUCGACCACCCAGUUGUCUAGCAACAGACUGUGCAGUCGAGUAUCCCUGUUUCAUUUCCUGUCUGUUACUCGACCUGUCACUCGACCUCACCCAGAGCUCUGCAAAGAGCUGUGUUGGUCGAGUGUUUUACUGUUUCUGUUUGAUUUUCUGUUUUCUGCAUGUUCACUUAGGACUGCUGGAACACACCAAAACCUGUUAUGCUUGGCUUGACUUAGUGACUUCUGAUCACAUCUUGAUUGUUAGCAUCACACCCAUUUGGAUUGACAACCUAAAAUACUACAAUGACAAGAUUGGUGUUUUAGGAUAAUUGACUAAAAACCUAUUAUCAAUUUGGCGCCGUUGCCAAUUGGGUGUUUGUUUGUUACAUUUAAGAUUUCAGACUUGCUUAGAUCAAGUUCUUUUUCAAUUUUCUUUUUAGUUACUAACUGUGUUUUUCUUGUUGUCUUCUUGAUCCAGGUACACCUCUGCUGUAUGCGAACUCGAUCAACAGGCAACCAGAACCUCCUUUUCAACGACAACAUCAACCGCACAGCCCGCAAAAUCAGAAAAAGGAGAACCACAGUCAACACUGUACCUCAGCAACCACUAGUUAUGGCUGAAGAACAGAAUCAACAAAAUGGCCUUACCAACAUUGGUGCUGGAGAUGCACCACGUGAUCACCGUCAGAGGAAGGGAAUCGCACCUCCUGCUAUCCAGAAUAACAACUUCGAGAUUAAUAGUGGUCUCAUCUCGAUGAUUCAGGGGAACAAAUUCCAUGGUUUGCCAAUGGAAGAUCCACUCGACUACCUUGAUGAAUUCGAUAGGCGCUGCAACCUAACGAAUAUCAAUGGUGUUAGUGAAGACGGAUUCAAGCUCCGUUUGUUCCCAUUCUCCUUGGGCGACAAAGCACAUAUCUGGGAGAAGAAUCUGCCCCAUGACUCAAUCACCACCUGGGAUGAUUGUAAGAAGGCUUUUCUGUCAAAGUUCUUCUCCAAUGCUAGAACUGCAAGACUCAGAAAUGAGAUUUCUGGUUUCUCACAGAAGACUGGUGAAAGCUUCUGUGAAGCAUGGGAGCGUUUCAAGGGUUACACCAACCAAUGCCCUCAUCAUGGCUUUACUAAAGCCUCUCUUCUCAGCACUCUUUACAGAGGAGUCCUACCACGCAUCAGAAUGCUUCUGGAUACCGCCAGCAAUGGGAAUUUCCAGAACAAGGAUGUUGAAGAAGGCUGGGAAUUGGUUGAGAACUUGGCUCAAUCAGAUGGCAAUUACAACGAGGACUGUGAUAGGACCGUCAGAGGAACAGCUGACUCUGAUGACAAACACAGGAAGGAGAUCAAAGCGCUGAAUAACAAGCUGGACAGAAUUCUUCUUAGCCAUCAUAAGCAUGUACUCUUCCUUGUUGAUGACGAGCAGUAUGAAGUCCAAGAUGGGGAGGGUAACCAGUUGGAAGAAAUAAGCUACAUCAACAACAACCAGGGUGGCUACAAAGGAUACAACAACUUCAAAACCAACAAUCCCAACCUCUCCUACCGCAGCACCAACGUUGCUAAUCCUCAGGAUCAGGUGUACCCUCCACAGCAACAACAAGGCCAGAACAAACAUUUUGUUCCCUACAACCAAGGUUUCAUUCCUAAGCAGCAAUUCCAGGGGAACUACCAGCAACCACCACCACCUGGGUUUGCACCUCAGCAAAACCAAGGUCCUGCUGCUCGUGAUGCUGAAAUGAAACAGAUGGUCCAGCAGCUGCUACAGGGACAAGCAUCUAGCUCAAUGGAAAUGGCUAAGAAAUUAUCUGAAUUGCACCAUAAGCUGGACUGCAGCUACAAUGACCUGAAUGCCAAAGUGGAGGCAUUGAAUACCAAAGUCAGAUACUUGGAAGGCCAAUCAGCAUCUACCUCUGCACCAAAAGUUACAGGACUUCCAGGGAAGUCCAUAUAGAAUCCAAAAGAGUAUGCAACCGCUCACGCCAUCACCAUCUGCCAGGAUCGAGAACUGUCAACGCGACCUAACCCUGAUUUCAUCACUGAGGACAGUGAUGUUCAAGAAGGGGAGGCUUCUACUCAGGUUGAAGUCUCUGUUGUUGAAUUCAACCAUUCCGCUGGUUCUCGCCAUCUCACUCAAUCCAUCUCGGAAGAGAAGGGCCGCCAUAAUCGAGAGAAUGGUAAAACGAUUCAAACCUACUUCACUACCCUCACGUGCUCUUCCGUGGAUAUUCAGGAAAGCAUGGAUGGAGAGAUACAAGUCUAUUGCAGCGAAGCAGUUGGACGAGAUUGAAGCAGUGAUGCCACUAAUGGAAGUUCUUAACCUGAUUCCUGAUCCUCACAAAGAUGUGAGAAAUUUGAUACUGGAAAGGAUCAAGAUGUAUCACGAUUCGGAUGAUGAAAGUGAUGCCACUCCAUCUCGAGCUGCUGAUAAGAGGAUUGUUCAAGAGAAGUUAGAAGAUCCUGGAUCUUUCACUCUACCAUGUUCCAUUGGGGAAUUUGCUUUCAGCGAUUGUCUGUGCGAUCUCGGAGCCUCUGUUAGCUUGAUGCCACUCUCUGUGGCAAAAAGAUUAGAGUUCAUUCAAUAUAAAUCUUGUGACCUGACUUUGAUCCUUGCGGAUAGGUCUUCUAGAAAACCGUUCGGCAUGCUGAAAGACCUACCAGUCAUGAUUAAUGGCGUAGAAGUGCCUACAGACUUCGUGGUGCUGGAUAUGGAAGUAGAGCAUAAGGAUCCCUUAAUACUGGGAAGACCCUUUUUAGCGUCAGUGGGAGCAGUGAUAGAUGUCAGGGAAGGGAAAAUAAGUCUCAACCUUGGAAAGCAUAUCAAGUUGCAGUUUGACAUCAACAAAACUCCACAAGGGUCAACCGAAGAUGGAAGAACCUCAGGAAAUGAUAGAGCGAUCUCAGGAGAAGGAUAUGAGACUGAAAGAGUGAAAGAACUUAGAAAGAAGUCUGAUAAGCAGAAUGAAACUAUAGAGAAGCUGGCCCACACCAUUGAGGAACUUAGGAGUAAGCUGAAUCAGAUGCAGAAGGAAGCUCAACCUAAAGGCGGGAUUAACACUAUCCCGAGAAAAGAAUUCACUUCAAGAUGGUCUCAAGAUACAGAUUAUCCUCCAGAAGAGAAGGAAGCCUAUUUUGAAGAAAGGGGGAUUGAGUAUUUUGCUGCAGACCUCUCCAGGGAGGACGCUGAAUAUGAUGAUGGUAUCAGAGAGGAUUAUGCUGACCCUCUCUACAGUUCAUUUUCUUCUUGAUAAGUGUGAGGAGUCAAGCUAGAGACUUAAAACAAGCUCACUUGGGAGGAAGUCCCAUGACUAUCCUUGUAAAUAAUUUUUACCUUCUUGAUAUUUUUGAUUUGUUUUAGUUGUGUUUGUGGUUUUCAGAGACAAGAGAACAACGCGGAGAUAGAGUAAAAAUUCAAAACUUUUACUCUAUAGAAGACCUGGAGAUCGAGUGUACAGCCCGUUGGAGUACAAAAUUUUGAAAAUCUUCUGUUGCACCUGGAGACUUUGCACUCGAGUACAUUGGUCGAGUAUGUGUGAUGUUUAAAACCCAAAAAAAUUUUAAAUCAUCAUUUUACUCGACCAACAGAAGCUACAGAGACUUGCAGAAAUUUCCUACAGUUUAGAGUAGGUUUUCUGCAAAAUUUUCUCAAUCAACAGUGUGUGGACCACGCGCUGAGGAUAAGCUGGAGAGAGAAUCUAAAAUUCAACCUAGACCACUCAUUUUGAAGCGCUACUCGACCACUCCAAAUCCACUCGACCUUCCUCUUUUCAUUUCACCGCCGACACUCUAAUCUCCCUACUCCACAAAUCGCCGUCCAAACAGCUACUCGACCUCUGAUAAUUUCACUCGACCACCUUGCCGCCGUCACUAGCUCAUUCCCUCCGUCACCCGACCAAACCACUUCACACGAUUCCUUCUGUAUACUCGACCAAUUCAUCCACAUUAACCGCCGUCUCUUUCAUAAAAAAUCGCUCGACCUCGCUUCCCGGUCUCGUAGAGGCACUCGACUGAUGCCGUCCUAGCCGACUUCAAGAACUCACUCGACCUCGUGAAAGCACUCGACCCCUGCAAAAUUCUACUCGGCUUCUUGUUCGUGAAUUCAGUAGAGCCUUCCAACUUCAGAGAAGCUACUCGACUACUAGCUUUCACGAUUCACUCUAUCUCCACGAUUCACUCGACCGGCUGUAGCAUUCCAACUCGACCUCUGAGAAGAUACUCGAUUCAAUUCAUCUAAGCUCAGGAACAGCUCAGGUUACUCGAGUACAGAAUUGUACUCGACCAAUUCAAUCUGUUUCAUUGCCUAUUGACAAUAAUUUUGGUUUCAUUGCUAUCUUUGAGACUAACCUAUUGACAUUUGAGCCUUGAGUUCUAAAUCCCUACAGGAGAAUCAUGAGCAAUUACAGUGGCAGUUCUUCCGUUGAUCCUGACUACAACAUGGAUGAGACAGAAUCGUCAUCUUCAAGGCCAGAGAGAGAACAGAGAGAAUACGAAAGUUUCAGAAGGAAAGCUGAGAUAGCCCGAGGAAAGAGAGCGAUGACAGAGAGGUAUGAGCUUAUAGACGAAGAUCUGGAAGACGAGUACAUGCCUGAACAGACUCGCAGAGCUACCAAACUUCUGCACAAGCCCGACAUAUUGCCUGCUGAGGAAUAUGUUAGGCUUUUCAAGCUGAAUGAGUUCUGUAGCACGAGGUAUCCUUGCUCGACCUCACUUGCACAACUCGAAUUGUUGGAAGAUGUUCAGCACCUGUACCAAAGUUGUCAUCUGGACACUCUGAUGGCUUAUCCGUAUGUAGCAUAUGAAGAUGAGACAAUACAAUUCCUCUCCACACUGCAAGUAGAGCUCUACCAAGGUAUGACCUCUGAUGAGUAUGAUUGUGAAGGAUUGGGAUUCUUGCGAUUUUCUGUGAAUGGUCAUGAGUAUAGGUUAUCAAUCAAGCGAUUGGAAGGAUUGUUUGGCUUCCCCAGUGGAACGGGAUCUAAGCCAAAGUAUGAAAGAGAAGAGCUGAAAGACUUGUGGAUCACCAUUGGCAGCUCUGUAGCAAUCAGAUACGCAGCCCUGUCAUCAGGUACUUCCAGCGUUCUGUAGCCAACGUACUCUACUCCCGAGAGAUUACAGGGACUGUCACUAACUCUGAUAUGGAGAUGAUCGCAAUGGCCCUCAAGGGAACUCUUCGCCAAACUAAGAAUGGUAUGCCCCUCCAGGGUGAAAUCAAUGACACACCCCUAGCUGUACUUCUUCUGAUCCAUUUGUGUGGAUACAAGAGUUGGGCUGUCACCAAUAACCGCAAGAGAGCACGAGGCGCUCUGUGCAUAGGUGGCGUUGUGACACCGAUUCUGAUAGCUUGUGGAGUCCCACUCAUUUCUGCUGGACUCGAGCCGCGAGCAAUGGAUAUCGAGCACCUACGUCACUGCGAAUUCCUGGAGUUUGCAAUGGUUGACGAUCUCCACAGGUUCAGGUUUGAGCACUCUAUAGACAGGAGAGCUAACAUCCUUCUCCCUAGCCCUGAGGUCACACGGAUAAUAGAGGGAGAUAACAUUGAUUUUAGGCCUGAGAUUGGACGCCUCUACUAUGAGAACGUUCCGCCAUUGGAUGAGGAUGAUCUUCUUGAAGAAGCUGCCUCGAAUGGGAUGGAUGAAGAUAGGGGAGUGAAGUUCGACACUAGCAUGUAUCACUUUGCUGAACAUGUACCUCCAGCGAGGCAGAGCAAGAGCUUGACUGAAGCUCAUAAGAAUAACAGUAAAUUGCAGAAGUGGUGCAAGAAGCAGGACAAGCUGAUCGCCAAGUGUUUCAAGCUUUUGACAGAUAAGCUGAGUUGCUCUUCCUCCACCACUGCUAUUCCACAGGUACAGUGUCCUAUGGAGAUGCCAUCGAGGAGAAUUAAUGCACCUGCGCACAGGCCUGAGCUUAGCGAGCAGAGAGUCCCACAUGUCCAGGCUAGGCAUUCGUCAUUCGAAUCCCGGGAACACAAGAGAAGAAGGAAGGCUACACUCACUCGAUCUAGCAGCAGAUCACGCCUCAUUCACUCGAGGAGAUCACUCGACCGCGGUACUGGCCGCAGCAGAAGGAGAGAGGUCGAGUUUCCUCAGAGCGGUGCUGGCCGCCACAGAGCUGAUGAGGUCGAGUACCCAUCUGCUGGAGCUGAUACAGAACAAGGAGGUUCGUCUAUGGCCUGGGAGCAAUCACAGGCAGCCAUUGACAAGCAACUACGUUCAUUCUUCGACUGAGGUAAGUGCCUCACUUCACCAUUGUAUUAUACCGCCUCUCUUCCAAGUUUAUUCACACAGUGGACUGUGUGAUUUAAGUUUGGGGGAGGGCUCAGGAAGUGUGUGUUGCAUUGUGUAUAUUUUUUAGUGUUGCAUUGAAAAUUUUCAGAAAAUGAUUUCACAAAAAAAAAGAGUGUUCAUGUAGUUGCAUCACAUUUAGGAUCGAGUCUAGAGUGUUUCAUUUAGGAUUGUUGCAUAUGCAUAGGGGAUGAUGAUGAGAUAGCCUUGUAAGCAUUUUGAUUCACCGGAUAAACUCAGUGCCCUCGUUGCUAGUUGUCUGUUGCAUAGUCAAUGAAUUUGAAAAAAA